Molecule: long non-coding RNA, 9920 nt
Filed under: Capsicum annuum
Lineage: Eukaryota; Viridiplantae; Streptophyta; Magnoliopsida; Solanales; Solanaceae
Description: long non-coding RNA (CANN_LNC007619)
Source: RNAcentral
CCCAUAUUUCUUUUCCACAAAGGAAAAGAGCAUAUACACACAUAAAUUCCAUCCAAUUGGUGGCCCACAGUGAAGAAAAACAUAUACAAAAGGCCAUUCAUUUUUUCUUUUCUUCUUGACCAAUUCAUAUAUACAUAGAACAAACAAAAUACAAAAAUAGACACCUCACACCAUUAACAGAGGGCAACACACACUUGCCCUUUCGAAUAAAAACCUCACUGAAGUACUCACAGAGGGAGAGCACACUGACCCUCACGCAUAUCACACACACACACUUUAUUUUUUUUUUCUUCUCCACCGAGAAAACACACCCAGAUAUACACCAUUACACCACUCACACGGAGAUGGAAUACGUGCACACUCUCACUGAUUGAAGAGGUCACCAUUUUUCUAUUUUUCUUUAACAACGCACGACAACACCAUGGAGAGAAUACCUACAAAAAUAGAGAAAAGAAAACUCAAAUAAAACACACUACAAAUUGAAACCUCACCGGAAAAGUUCACUCACUCACUCACGAAUAGCUCACCAUACGCACACACGCCGUGUAUAAACACGCCACACACUGAAAACCGAGAGUUGAGGGUGUGAUCGGAGUAAUCGAGAAAGUGCGAUUCGAGUGAGAGAGAGAUCAAAACAGAGAGAAGGAUCGAAAGAUUGAGAGCAAAACACAAAGGGGAACCGAUUGGGAAGGAGGGUGGUGCGAUCGGAUUCCGGCAACGUCCAUCGAAAUCGUGGUUUGGUUCGGUUCUGCCUGAAAUCGGGUCGGGCUUUGGAUUUAUCCGUCUUCGCGAUUCAUUUUCAAUAUUGUGAUUCUCGGGUUACUCGAUUCAUGCCCGCGGAUUUCUGUUCGAAUUGGAUUUCGUGAAUAUUCCGUGUUUGGAGUUCGGUUGAUAGUCGAGUCGGUAUUCGUUGAGGUUCUCAGUACGGCUCUUUAUUCUCUUAUUCAAAUCAAUCGAAAGAGUCAUUGAGGUCCAAUUCUAUUUCAUUCUCAUUUUGAUUUCAUUAUAUACGCAUGAUUGAUGGAUAUCAUCUCAAUUUUCUCUUAUUUUAGGUGUGAUAUGAAUGAUUAAUUUGGAAUUAUUUGAUUGUGGAUUUUUGAAAAAUGGUAAUCGUGAACUGUUAUAUUGCAACUUUGAAUAAAAUUUGGGGGAAUUGAUAAUCGAAUAAGUAAAACGUUGAUUAGUUUUGAUUCAUUGUUGGAUAUUAUUGAAAUUGAUAGUAUCAUGUUUUAGAUCGUUAAAUGUGUAGGCAAAUACUAAGUUUGGGUAGGCAAAUUGUAGAAAUGGAAGAUGGUGACUUGUGGAAUGUGUGAAUAUUUGUUGAAUGGUUCUUUCUAUUUUAACGCAUAAAAUUGAGGAUGUAUUCAUUUUGCCGGGGAAUGCCCCGAGGUACUUGUAUCCAUUCAUCGAGAAAUAUUCCGACAUAUCAUGUACGCAAAGAAGGUUCGUGAUGAAGGCUUGAGGCAUCGGGUAAAGCAUUGGAGUAUAGUUUAGGAUUAGUCUAAAUAGGAUUUCUAUUUUUGUAUUGUUCUAUUUUUGGACUGUAUAAUUCGUACUGGACAUUAUUUUGAUUUUUGAAUUUUGAAUUGCAUGACAUGUACUUACUUUUUUUAAUAUGUGAAUGUGAAUUAGUUGAUUAACUUAAUUAUUUUAUGUAAAUAUUAAUGGCCUAAGUUUUGCCUAAAAUUGAUGAAAUUAUAUAAAUAAAGAAUAUCCCGACCGACACCCAAAAAGCAAAAUUUUCACUAUUUUUUUUUUGUUAUUUAUACAAGUGUGAGAAUAUAAAAUACAAUAUAAAAUUUAAGGGCCUCUUUGACUGCAACUCCCGACGAAUAUUUCAAAAUAACCUGUAUAAACACUAAAAAAAAAAGAAUAUUAGUAACAAAUAAUCAAAAUAAAUUGAACAAGCAUCAAAAUAAAUUGAACAAGUGUGUAUGCGUAUAAAUAUUUAAAAAUAUAUUUUUUAUUAAAAAGUGGGCUCAGAUAAUGUCAUGACUGCGAAAUGGUUGCUCAAUUAAUUGGCCGUUCUAAAUCGUCUUGCAACGAAGUGGUUGCUCAAUUAAUUGGCCGUCCUAAAUCGUCUUGCCAAGAUAUGAAUUGUAAAAUCUUGUGUUAUAAAGUUUCAUCAUCGCCCAAAAAAUAUUUAUUUAUUACGUAUGUAUACGUAAAAAGUCCGUCUUUUGUUUACGGAUGCCUCAAAAUUAAUAAUAAUUUUUUCAUUGGCCAAAUGUGUAGUAUCCAUUCACCAUCAGUGUAAAUAAAUGAGAAGGACAAAAAUCGUUCAAAAAUCACUCCAACAGCAGCAAACUCAAGGCAAACAAAAAUGGUCAAUAACAGUGAUAGUAAAAUAGCAAAGCUAACAGAGACAAACUCACUAUCUAAUUAAUUCAAAUAUCCAUCCAAACGGCUUUGACUAGAUCUGUGUAGUAAGAAAAAUAUUAGAGAAAAGGGGCGGCUCGUGGCUGUUUCUCGAUGUUGGUAGCGACUGUUGUAGUGGUUGACGGCGGCAGAUCUGGGAAGAAAUUCGAUGCUCAUCGGUCAUCACCUCCGGCUAGCUUGCGGCAAAAUGUAAAGGGAAAGCUUGUAGCGUGGGGGGUGGUAUUGUCGGACGGCUGUUUCAGGGAAGAAAAUUGUGUGGAGGUGGCGCGUGAGAUUGGAUGAACUGUUGAUAUCUACGGAGAAGACGAAAGCUUAAAAAUGAAAACUGUGUAGUAGGCAUCUAUAUAUAUAUUUAUAUGUGUGUCAUUGCUGUUGAUGGUAAAAAAUAAAACAAAAAUGGAGGUUGUUUUUCUAUGUAUGUGUGUGUUUAUGUGUUUUUAUAUAUAUUUUUUGUGAGUUUUUGAAGAGAAAAAUGAAAUAAAUAAAAUAUGCUUGUAUAUUUAUGAAUAUGUGUGUGAGUUUGCAAAGAAAAAAUGUUUAUGAGUUGUAAAAAAUAAAUAUAUGUGUAUUUUGAUAGAGAGGAAAAAAAUGAACAAAAAUGUGUGUCCAAAAUGUGUCCUCCCACCAGCUAUUUAUACAAAAAAUUGAGCACACCUUUUAUCCAAUGUAUAAAGGAGUGUCCUCUCUUUUUAUAAUAAAACACUCUUAGGUCCUUAAGUUAUUGGCCAAAGGAUUUUCAUCCUUUUGACCAAUGGACAAAGUAAUUAUCCAAAGGGUAGUGUCAUUGAUUGGUCGUUGUCAGAUGUGAUGAGACAACACUGAAUGGUCAUUUUCGGACGUGACAAGACAUUAUUGUGUAGUCGUUGUCGGAUGUGAUAAGACAUCGAAUUAUUAUACUGCACAAAAAUAAUUGAUCCGAUUGAGUAUUUGCGGACUGUAAAAUAUAGAUGUUGAAUGAAAAAUGUAAAGAAUAUUAAAAUAUAAUUAAUUUAAAAAUACUAUAUAUAUAUAUAUAUAUAACGUCAUGUCGUGCACAUGCGCAAAUAUUUGUAAAAUAAUAAAUUGAUAAGAAUAAGAAAAAUUAUUAAUAAAUUAUAAAGAGUAAAAAAUCCUAAAGUAAGGAUGAAAAUCAAUAAUUUGUUAUCAAUUGUAAAAAAUAUGUGGAAGUUGUAUUUUGUGUCUUUUAACGGUCAGGAAGCCUGAAUACGUUAUUUUUAAGCACGGAGAGCAAAAAUUGGGUGUCAACAACUACGCGUGACCUGAUUCUCCCCUCUCGGAGGUGAGAUACGUAGGCUGCCCUAUUUUGGGAUCGUCCAACCAAAUAAAUAAUUUAGAAUCACCCAAUCAAAAGAAACUGGGGCAUGAUUUAAUCCUCGUUGUUUAAGUCGAUUCCAAAAGUUGUAAGUCCCACCCUACUUCAAGUGUCGUUUGGGCCUCAUGUCAUCUUUUUCUUCUAACCUUAUUCAAAAGCCAAGCUACAACCAAAGAAAGACCUUCAGAUCAAUCUUUGAGAAUGUUAAGACUAAGCAUGCAAUGAAUGAGAUGACACAUUUUAGGAACUACUUGUUUACCUCAGCAAUAAGAAUCGGAAUGAGAGAGUCUUAUUGGUGAAAACCCUCACGGGUACCGUAAGGCGAUGGUAAGUUGAGAGAAAUAAAAAUGAGAGUCUUAUUGGUGAAAACCCUCACAGGCACCAUAAGACGACUGUGAGUUGAGAGAAAUGAAAAUAAGAGAGUCUCAUUGGUGAAAAAACCUCACGGACAUAAAGGCAAUGGUGAGCUGAGAGAAAGGCAGAGGCUUGUUGGCGAAAAACCUUCAAGGCGCCACUAGCCGAAUGAGAUCUAAAUACAAUUGACCUAAGGAAGCAACUCAGUUUUGAGGCCAUUAACUCAAAAACAAUUGGUAGGAAGUUUGGAUGAAAAGGUCAAGCUGCUUAAUCCAAAAUGCAUGGCAUAUUCAUUAGAGUUGAUUGUCAUUUUUAGAUGAAUUUUUCAUUUCUUUGUUUUAAAGGGGGACAUUUAUUGUCGACAUUUAUUGUCUUUUCUUUCUUCUUUUUAUUUUUAUUUUAUUUUCUUUGGUCAGUUGUCCAAAUAAAAAUCAUUGUCAUUUUUAUCUUGUCUUGGAGUCAAGUCCAUGUCAAAACAAGUGAGAAAAGAUUUCAAAACUGCCUACCAGCUUCUUUAAUUGCACAAAGCAAGACAAAAGGGUCAGUACAUGAAAAAGACAUGAUUGUGAGCCGAAAUAAGGCAUACAAAAUUUUGUCAACAGACAAGUCUGGGAACUUAUGGAAAUACAAAAGAUCAAAGGGUUUAUCUGAAAAGCAUGGCAAAGCAGAGAUACUGUGUUUGUUUCAGAGUCGCUCUUAAUAAUCUGAGUUUGGGUCAAUGAUGCAGCAAGUCAAUGGCAUAUGCUAAUGGUUGGAAGCAAGGUUAAAUGUGACCGGGGCAAGAGCGAUUGCCGCGAAAGCUAAAGACACAAACCAGCCACCAUGUUUUUAAACUAACAAGUUUUUUUUUUGUAUGAAACAGGAACACAUGUUACCUUCAAAUCGAGAAUUUCAAAGCCUAAACAUCAAAAGUUGCAAUGCUCACCUACACAAAUGCAGGAGAUAAUAUUGUUGCACAGGUUUGGUAAUCAAAACCAUGGUAAAACUCAUCAUCCAAUAUCUCUAGGAGACACACUUCCUUGUUUGGAUAAUUCAAGAGACAUUUGUAAGGAGAUGCACUUCCUUGUUGGGCAAUGCAAGUGACAUUUGUAAGGAGACACACUUUCUUGUUUUGGUAAUUCAAGCAGCAUUUGUAAGGAGAUGCACUUUCACAUUUGGGUAUCUCAAGCGGUAUUUGUAAGGAGAUUCACUUCCUUAUUUGGUAAUUCAAGCAACAUUUGUAAGGAGACGCACUUCCUUGUUUGGGUAAUUCCAGCAACAUUUGUAAGGAGACACACUUCUUUGUUUGGUAAUUUAAGCAACAUUUGUAAGGAGACAGACUUUCUUGUCUGGAUAAUUUCAGCAACAUUUGUAAGGAAACGUAUUUCCUUGUUUGGGUAAUUCCAGCAACAUUUGUGAGGAAACACACUUCUUUAUUUGGUAAUUCAAGCGGUAUUUGUAAGGAGACACACUUUCUUGUUUGGGCAAUUCAAGCAACAUUUGUAAGGAGACACACUUCCUUGUUUGGGCAAUUCAAGUGACAUUUGUGAGGAGACGCACUUCCUUAUUUUGGUAAUUUAAGCGGCAUUUGUAAGGAUACGCACUUUCUUGUUUGGGUAAUUUAAGAGACAUUUGUUAAGAGAUGCACUUCCAUGUUUUGAUAAUUCAAGCGACAUUGGUAAGGAGACACACUUCCUUAUUUUGGUAAUUCAAGCGGCAUUUUUAAGAAGACGCACUUUCUUGUUUAGGUAAUUCAAAAUACAUUUGUUAGGAGACGCACUUCCUUGUUUUGGUAAUUCAAGCAACAUCUGUAAGGAGACGCACUUUCUAAUUUGGGUAAUUCAAGCGACAUUUGUAAGGAGACGCACUUUCUUGUUUUGAUAAUUCAAGAUACAUUUGUUAUGAGAUGCACUUUCUUGUUUUGGUAAUUCAAGCAACAUCUGUAAGGAGACGCACUUCCUUAUUUGGAUAAUUCAAGCGGCAUUUGUAAGGAGAUGCACUUCCUGAUUUUGAUAAUUCAAGCAACAUUGGAGCCCGCCCAAAGCACAGGGUGAAUAAAUGGAAGGUCAAAUAAAAAGGUGAAGAAAUUGAAAGUCAAAAAAUUGAAAAAUAGCAAGUCAGGAGCCCACCUGGAGAUCAGGUUGAAGAAAUUGAAAGUCAGGCAACACGUUGAAGAAAUUGCAAGUCAGGAGCCGGCCUGAAGAAUAGGGGGAUGAAACUCAAGUCAAGAGUCCAAAAGAAGCUACAUAGAUAGGAUUUUUGUAAUUUUAUUUAUGUUUUAACUUGUAAUUUUUUAUUUUUGAUGUAAUGACAGAGUCGUGGACCGAAACCUCGAUGGGACCUCACUCGACUCUCCAACUCGGUAUAGUCUCUCUUCUUCCAACCCUUUGAGAUACAUGUAACUUGAUUCCCUCAUAACUUGGGUAGAAAGGACGUCCUAAGACAAGACUUGGUUGCCUUUUUUCUUUCUGUUUCGUUCCUUGAAUAAUGGUUGGGUCAAAAUUUUGUCUCGUUAUCUACUUUUUUUUUCUGAAAACACUUUGUGUUUGCACCCAAAAAGGGGCAUGAUUUAGACACCUAAUUUUGCCCCUCCCAAAACCCAAUUCAUCUAUUUUUACCACACAUUAUCAUACACUCUCACCCAUGUGAUUACACCCCACAAAAAUACAAAAAAAAUUAACAGCCCUUAACAAAUCUCUAACAAACUUUAUCUUGUUUUAAUCAUCCUAACAACCUACCCUUACUCCACCCCUACCCCACCUCACCCACAUAACCACUCCUCCUCCACAUUUCUUUUCCACAAAGGAAAAUAGCAUAUACACACACAAAUUCCAUCCAAUUGGUGACCCACAGUGAAGAAAAACAUAUACAAAAGGCCAUUCCAUUUUUUCCUUUCUUCUUGACCAAUUCAUAUAUACACAGAACAAACAAAAUACAAAAAUAAAUACCUCACGCCAUUAAAAAGGGACAACACACACCUGGCCAUUCGAACAAAAACCUCACUGAAAUACUCACAGAGGGAGAGCACACUGACCCUCACGCACAUCACACACACACUCCAUUUUUCUUUUUCUUCUCUACCGAGAACACACACCCAGAUAUACACCAUUACACCACUCACACGGAGAUGGAAUACGUGCAUACUCUCACUGAUUGAAGGGGUCCCUAUUUUUUCAUUUUUCUUUAACAACGCACGACAACACCAUAGAGAGAAUACCCACAAAAAUAGAGAAAAGAAAACCCGAAUAAAACAUACUACAAAUUGAAACCUUACCGAAAAAGUUCACUCACUCAUAAAUAGCUCACCAUACGUACACACGUCGUGUAUAAACACACCACACACUGAAAAUAGAGAGUUGAGGGUGUGAUCGGAGUAAUUGAGAAAGUGAGAUUCGAGUGAGAGAGAUAUAAAAACAGAGAGGGGGAUCGAAAGAUUAAGAGCAAAGCACAAAGGAGAACCGACUGUGAAGGAGGGUGGUGCGAUCGAAUUUCGGCAAUGUCCACUGGAAUCGUGGUUUGGUUCGGUUUUGCCUGAAAUCAGGUUGGGCUUUGGGUUUAUUCGUCUUCGCGAUUCAUUUUCAAUAUUGUAAUUCUUGGGUUACUCUAUUCAUGCCCGUGGAAUUCUGUUCGGAUUGGAUUUUGUGAAUAUUCCGUGUUUGGAGUUCGAUUGAUAGUCGAGUCGGUAUUCGUUGAGGUUCUCGGGACAACUCUUUAUUCUCUUAUUCAAAUCAAUUGAAAGCGGCAUUGAGGUCCAAUUCUAUCUCAUUCUCACUUUGAUUUCAUUAUAUACGCGCGAUUGAUGGAUAUCAUCUCAAUUUUCUCUUUUUUUCGGUGUGAUGUGAUGAUUAAUGUGGAAUUAUUUGGUUGUGGAUUUUUGAAAAAAGGUAAUCAUGAACUGUUAUAUUGCAACCUUGAAUAAAAUUUGGGGGAAUUGAUAAUCUAAUAAGUAGAACGUUGAUUAGUUUUGAUUUAUUGUUGGAUAUUGUUGAAUUGAUAGUAGCAUGCUUUAGAUCGUUAAAUGUGUAGGAAAAUACUAAGUUUGGAUAGGCAAAUUGUAGAAACAGAAGAUGGUGACUUGUGGAAUGUGUGAAUAUUUGUUGAAUGGUUCUUUCUAUUUUAACGCACAAAAUUGAGGAUGUAUUCAUUUUGCCGGGGAAUGCCCCGAUGUACCAAAUAUCGUCAACAAUGAAAUAGAAAGAAUGAAAGAGUAGAAUUGGAUCUCAAAUGUUUCGAUUGUGGUUGCUCCUUUCGAUUAGAACCGUGUCCAAAGUCUCAAACUGAACCUCAAGAAUCAACAAGCUCAACUCGAUAUCGCAAGUCACCACCCAAACAGAUUUGAAACCAUCAAGCAAAUUCACUAUCAACUCUCGAAUCGAGGACUUCAAACAGAAAUAACAAACCCCAAAGAUGAAAUUUCAACCUCAAACCCCAAAAGUAAAAAAAAAACCCAGAUCGAAAUGAUUCAAUGAUAGACGACGACCCGAUUCCAACACAAAACCCACGAUAGACAGUGGACAAUACUCCGCUUGGUAUCGAGAAAUGAAGACCCAAAACAGACCACAACGAACCCAAAUCAAAGACAACGAACAACCCAAAUCCAAAAUGAAUCACAAAUCAAUAGCAAGAUUGCGAAUUCACAACCCAAAUUUAUUCAGACAGAUAUCGCAAAAACAAAGACCAACCCGAACCCAAUAUCGAUCUCCCUAAUCCUUCACUCACUGAUUUUUCCUAUCCACUGGUUUCUGCUUAUCUCCUUCGUUUCUCUCUCUCUCUUUGUUCUCUCUUAAUCCCCCGUCACUGGUAUGUGCGUGCGUUUUUGGGUGUAUUCGAAAAAAAAAGAAGAAAUGGGAAGGGAAUCGCGUCACCUCAUCUCCAAAGAAGGAGAAACCAACAAAAUGGCGUCACUGUGUAUCCAUCCCCCCUGGUUUUUGUAAGUGUGUAUGUAUAUAUAUGCUGUGGGAAUUCCUUGUAGUGAGAGUGUGGACGAUGGUGUCUCUCUAUGGAAGAUCAUCUAUGGUGUUCUUCCGAAAAAAAUGGUGGCUCUCAGUGUUGUGUUUUUUUCCCGAAAAAAAAAAGAAAAAGAAGCCCCCCCCCCCAAAAAUGUUUUCUCCUCUUGGUCUCUCCUUUUCACUGUAUCCAUUCUCCUCUUUAAUUUUAUUUUUUGCUUUUUCUUUAUAUUGUGUCAUAAUUGUAUGAAUAUCAUUGGUGGCUUGUGGGUAUAUGUGUGUGGUAUGUGUAAAAUUAGGUAUGACAUGUGGAAAGAUGAGUGUGGCGUGUGGCAAAAUGAGUAGGGCGAAUGAAAAAUAAGGGGUGAGGUAUUGAGGUGACAUGGUGAAGUGGAUGCAAAUAGAAAUAAAAAUAAAAAUAGAAUAAAAAUAAAAUAAAUAAAAUAAAAAUAAAAAUAGAAAUAAUUAAAAUAUUUUUUUUGGGAUGGACAAAAUUACGUGUCUAUAUAUUGUCCUGUAUCAGUCUGUUUAGCACAAAAACAACUUGACUUGGAUCUAUUAGUGAUACGAGUACGACCACGAGGAUGCACGUAUGUGAGAAUGCAUUGGACCCGUCCAAUAAAGCAUCCAAUUCAGUGUGGAGAAGACCUUGUAUCACACCAAAACCGACCCUAAACUUGCACUCCAAGGGCGCGCUUUUCAUUAAAGGGACCUUUUGGUCAUUUUACCUAUUAUUUGUAACAUACUAUAAAUAGAAUAAUGUAGGGUUUUAGUCAUUAGUUUUGAUGAAUAUUAAAAGUUGUAGACACUUAGACAUUUCUCUCUUGUGAGAAAGGCCCCUAUGGCCAAACAUUGUAACUAGGGAUUUCAACUUGAGUGUGGAAUCACUUGUGUUGGAUUCAAGCUUGGAAAUGUUGGAUGCUUGGGAGAUCGAGGUCCCUCUUGUGCCA